RNAcentral lists this ribosomal RNA (1851 nucleotides) under Triticum aestivum (bread wheat). RNAcentral describes it as "partial small subunit ribosomal RNA". Lineage: Eukaryota; Viridiplantae; Streptophyta; Magnoliopsida; Poales; Poaceae. The record is from RNAcentral.
AUGGCCAAGAUGAGCUGCUUCUCCAUCCUGCUCACCGGCCGGAGGCAGAAACGAGUGCAGGUUGGUGAUGCCGACAAGGGUGGUGGAACUGAGAGCGAUCGCGCCACGGUGAAGCCGGUGGCGGUGGAGUGUACUGACGCGCCGCCGGCGGUUGCCGCUGCCAUGGUGGAGAAAUGCGGCGACAAGAUCGUCGCCGAUGUGGUCAUCGUGGUGGCGCACAAGGGCGCCAGUGAGGUGUCGCCAGCAAGAUCGGACAGUCUGUCUGACGACAUUGAUUUCGAGUUCCACCCGCAGCACAAGUCCGUCGGCUUCGACGUCCAGGGACCGGAGAAGCAUGCCACUGGCACCGUGCCGGACGCGCGUCCGGUGGCCGCGAGCGCCGGGGAGGAGGCCGCGACGGCGGUGGUGGAGGAGGCUGCGGCAGCGGAGGUGGAGGUGGACCCGUCGGCGAAGCUCAAGCGCUCGUGCUCCAACAUGGAGACGAAGCGGCCUGGCCCGAGGGACUCCCCGGGCACGCGGGUGCGGUCGCGCUCCUACGGCGACCUGCCGGGCGACCUCCUCGUGGUCACCACCCCGCGGCGCGCGCACGAGGCGAGCCCCAAUGCGUCGGUGAAGACGUCGCGCACCGCCGACGGCGUUAUGCUCAAGCGGCGGUCGUCUAGCCAGGUGUUGCCGUCGCGGAGCCGGAAGCUGUGGUGGCGGCUCUUCCUCUGGAGCCACCGCAACUUGCACCGGCCCUGGUCGGCGCGCCCAAGCGACGCUGGCACUCCCCGCGGCGGGUACACGUCGGACACGCUCGAGGAGCCGGCCGACCGCAAGAAGAAGAAGGCGAUGGUGGACGAGUCGCCGGCGCAGCCGCCAUCGCAGAACCAGUGGGUCGCCUUCUGCGCCGACCACUCCCUGAGCGACCGCGUCAGCGACUGGGUGAGCAGCAUCGACAACAGCGGGUGCCUCCGCAUCGCCGAGGAGGAGGACGACGGUGGCGACCAGAGCAUGGACCUCACCGACGACCGCGUGGCGCGUCCGCGUCCCAUGGAGGCCGGGGAGACGUCGGGUAAGGGGGGCCACGGCAAGCUGGCCAAGCCGUGCGCGGCGGCGGACGACGUGGCCCAGGCCAACAGCAUCGUCCAGUCCCUCAACGGCUUCUCCUCCGUGGCGCACAUCUCCGGGAUGGGCCUCAAGGUCGUGCCCAUGAUCGCGCCCUUCUCCAACCUCCGCGCCGUCAACCUCUCCGGCAACUUCAUCGUUCAUAUCUCCCCCGGAUCGCUGCCGAAGGGCCUGCACACGCUGGAUCUGUCGCGGAACAAGAUCGCCAACGUCGAGGGGCUCCGGGAGCUGACUAAGCUGCGCGUGCUGAACCUCAGCUACAACCGGAUCUCGCGCAUCGGCCACGGGCUGUCGAACUGCACGGCGAUGAGGGAGCUGUACCUGGCGGGGAACAAGAUCGGCGACGUGGAGGGGCUGCACCGGCUGCUGAGGCUGGCGGCGCUGGACCUGGGCUUCAACAGGCUCACCACGGCCAAGGCGCUGGGCCAGCUGGUGGCCAACUACCACUCCCUCCUGGCGCUCAACCUGGUGGGCAACCCCGUGCAGGCCAACGUCGGCGACGACGCGCUGCGCAAGGCCGUCACCGACCUCCUCCCGCAGCUGGCCUACCUCAACAAGCAGCCCCUCAAGCCGCGGGAGGCGGCCACUGACAGCGUCGCGCGCGCGGCGCUCGGCACGGGAGGGCGCAGGAGGGGGGCGCCGCGGCGCCUGAGCCAGAGCCCCGGGUCGUCGUCGUCGUCGUCGUCCAGGAGCAGGUCCAAAGGCAGGCAGCACCACGGCUCGAGCAUGACGGCAAGGAAGUGA